ACAAUGUUCUUAAAGUUUGACCUCAAAUCAGGUAGGAGUACCCGCUGAACUUAAGCAUAUCAAUAAGCGGAGGAAAAGAAACCAACCGGGAUUGCCUUAGUAACGGCGAGUGAAGCGGCAAAAGCUCAAAUUUGAAAUCUGGUACCUUCGGUGCCCGAGUUGUAAUUUGGAGAGGGCAACUUUGGGGCCGUUCCUUGUCUAUGUUCCUUGGAACAGGACGUCAUAGAGGGUGAGAAUCCCGUGUGGCGAGGAGUGCGGUUCUAUGUAAAGUGCCUUCGAAGAGUCGAGUUGUUUGGGAAUGCAGCUCUAAGUGGGUGGUAAAUUCCAUCUAAAGCUAAAUAUUGGCGAGAGACCGAUAGCGAACAAGUACAGUGAUGGAAAGAUGAAAAGAACUUUGAAAAGAGAGUGAAAAAGUACGUGAAAUUGUUGAAAGGGAAGGGCAUUUGAUCAGACAUGGUGUUUUGUGCCCUCUGCUCCUUGUGGGUAGGGGAAUCUCGCAUUUCACUGGGCCAGCAUCAGUUUUGGUGGCAGGAUAAAUCCGUAGGAAUGUAACUUGCUUCGGGAAGUAUUAUAGCCUGCGGGAAUACUGCCAGCUGGGACUGAGGACUGCGACGUAAGUCAAGGAUGC
This 628-nucleotide ribosomal RNA is filed under the name Saccharomyces paradoxus. RNAcentral describes it as "eukaryotic LSU rRNA". It matches the Rfam family "Eukaryotic large subunit ribosomal RNA", at positions 1 to 626 of the family's 3401-position model. Lineage: Eukaryota; Fungi; Ascomycota; Saccharomycetes; Saccharomycetales; Saccharomycetaceae. The record is from RNAcentral.